UGGAGUCUCUCUUGUGUCCACUCCCUUCUCGGGCAGUGGCUAUGGGGGUUGGAGGAGGAAGAUGAUUGUCGCGUUAUCUGCUAAAAUCAAAAUCGGUUUUGUUGAUGGCACCUGUCCCCGGCCAGUCACUAAUGUGAAUCAGCAAAGACUAUGGGACAGAUGCAAUAAUAUGGUGAUUUCCUGGUUGACUACCUCCCUCUCCCCUCAAAUUGCUGAAAGUGUGCAGUAUUAUGAUACUGCACAAAAAAAUUUAUGGUCCCAGCUUCAGGCCAGAUAUGGCACUGCCAACAGGACCAAAAUCUUUGAAUUAAAAAGAGAGCUUUCUCACACAUCUCAAGGGUCCCUAGAUGUAGCUUCAUAUUUCAAUAAACUUAAAGGUCUAUGGGAUGAAUUAGAAUCAAUGUGUACAAAUCAUGGGCAGAGAUGUGUAUGUGCUGCCAAAGAUGGUAUAAUACAUGGAUAUGAUGAAAAUAAGGGGUUUCAGUUUCUAAUGGGCCUUAAUGAAGCAUACAUGGGGGUAAGGAGUAACCUAUUGAUGAUGCAGUCACCUCCAACCCUUGACAGUGUCUAUAACAUACAUGGGGGUAAGGAGUAACCUAUUGAUGAUGCAGUCACCUCCAACCCUUGACAUGUCUAUUAUAUGGUCCUCAAUGAUGAGAAGCAGAGACAAGUCCAGUCCCCUUCUCAAUUUAAUCCAGACUCAAUGUCUCUCAAUGUCCACACAAAUAGACAUUCAGUUGGAUUCAAUAAGGCAACAGUGCCUAAUCCUUCUCCUGCUUUCAGACAGAGAGUCAAUUUUGACCAAGCUAGAGGGCCUUUAUUCUGUAGAUACUGCAAAAAAUCUGGGCACUUAAAUGAUAAGUGUUACAAGAUUCAUGGGUAUCCACAAAGUACAACAUUUAAUAAGGGGAGGAGACCUGCUGCUGCUCAUCUAACUGCUAGUGUGGAUUUCCCUUCUUCUGAAGGAAAUGUGUCUGUUCCCCAAGAAAAUCCUCGUGAAUGCCAUCACCCUGUUACAAACUUAGAUGGCCAGAGUUUAUGCUGCUGCUCAUCUAACUGCUGGUGUGGAUUCCCCUUCUUCUGAUGGACAUGUAUCUAUUCCCCUAGGGAAUCCUCCUGAAAGCCAUCAUUCUGUUACAAACAUAGAUGUCCAGAGUUCUGAGAUACCAGGGUUGAGCAGACAACAGUAUGACCAAUUGAUGAGCUUGUUACUACAUACCUAGUUAGGGGACUCCACUACUCAGACUCCUCCUCCCAUGUAUGCUGCCAAUUUUGCUGGUACUAUGCUAACUGAGAGCCCUGCUUCUGACUCCAAAUUUUGCAUGUUAACUCACAUUAGUUCUGCUACCUGGAUAAUUGACUUAGGAGUAUCUAACCAUAUUACUUUUAAUAAAUAUUUACUCUUUAAUCUCAUACCUUUAACUGUACCCUAUCUUGUUACUCUUCCCAAUGGAUAUAAAGUGAAAGUGACAUGUACAGGAUCUUUUGCAUUAAAUCCAUUCAUCACUCUUCAUAAUGUCCUACUUGUUCCUUCUUUCAAACAUAACUUGAUUUCUGUCCACAAGUUAGUGCACAUUAAAUCCAUUCAUCACUCUUCAUAAUGUCCUACUUGUUCCUUCUUUAAACAUAACUUGAUUUCUGUCCACAAGUUAGUACAACACUUGCGUUGUAUAGUACUGUUCACUGCAACUUCCUGUUUAAUUCACUUGUUACAGGCCCCUUCUCUGGGGAUGCCUCUGGAUCUUGGUAAAGAGGAGGCUGGUCUGUACAAGAUUGUUUGGGUGCCACCUUCAUCUUCUUCUAAUUGUGGUUCUUCUGUUUCUGUAUGCUCUUCUUCUUCUAACUCUCGUAAACAUGCCUAUUCUAGUAAUCAAGCUGUUGGUUUGCCUUUGAAUGUAAACAGUUCCAUAUGUAAUAAUACUGUUACCACAGACAUGAAUUACAUUUGGCAUUUAAGGUUGGGGCAUAUACACUUUGUGAACAUGAAACACAUUUCUGCUUCACCUUUUUCAUUUGCUUCUAAACAGCCUUUUCAAUGCUCUACCUGUCCUAUGGCCAGGCAAACUAGGCUUCCCUUUCCUGAAAGCACUACUAGUACAUCUAAACCUUUUCAGUUGAUUCAUGUUGAUACUUGGGGACCUUAUCAUACCCCCACCUCUUCUGGUUCUAGAUAUUUUCUCACAAUAGUUGAUGAUUUUUCUAGGGCAACCUGGACACAUUUGUUAGGGUCAAAAAGCAAUGCUUUCUUUUCUCACAAUAGUUGAUGACUUUUCUAGGGCAACCUGGACACAUUUGUUAGGGUCUAAAGGCAAUGCUUUCUGCAUGCUUCAAUCUUUUCUUUGUAUGGUCAAGACCCAAUUCAAUGCAACUGUACAAACUGUUAGGAGCGACAAUGCUUUAGAAUUGGGAUCUAGCAUUGUUGGUACAUCCUUUUUUAACCAACAUGGCAUCAUACACCAAACCACUUGUCCACAUACUCCCCAACAAAAUGGUGUUGUUGAGAGGAAACAUAGAACUCUUCUUGAAACCUGUAGAGCUUUACUUCCAGUCUGGUUUACCCAUUUCUUUCUGGGGUGAUUGUCUAUUAACUGCUACCUAUCUUAUUAACAGAGUACCCUCCAAGCUCCUUCAUGGUAAAUCCCCUUAUGAAAUCUUACAUAGUAAGGCACCCACUUACUCUCAUUUAAAGGCUUUUGGCUGCCUUGCCUAUGUUUCUGUCCCCAUUCCUCAAAGGGACAAGUUAAAGCCUAGGGCCAUUCUUGUGUUUUCCUAGGGUAUCCUUUUGCUAAAAAGGGCUAUAAACUAUAUGAUCUUAGUUUCAAAAAGUGUUUUGUGUCCAGGGAUGUUAUCUUUCAUGAAACUUCUUUUCCUUUCACAUCUGCCUCUUCUGUCACCUCUGUUCCUCCUGCUUUCCCUUCCUCUUUUCCUUCUAUUCCUCCUAUUGAUCAUUCCUCUUCUAACCAAGAAUUCUCUGUUCCAAUCUCUUCCUCUCCACCUCUAUCUCCUGUUCCAGAUUCUCGUUCUUCAAAUCCAAUUUCCAGUUCUCCUUUCAACCCUGACAUCUCCCCUCCUGAUUUACCUUCUUCCACAUCAACUGAUGUUCCCAGGAAAUCUGGCAGACAACACAAUCCUCCUUCUUAUCUUAAGGAUUAUGUUUGUAACCUUACUGCUUUCUCUGGGUCUUCUUCUUCUCCUCUGGAGACUGAACCCCUUUACUGCUCUCAAGCUGCAUCAGUUCUAGUAUGGCAGGAUGCCAUGAGAAAGGAGUUUGAUGCUAUGGAUGCUAACUGCACUUGGGACAUUGUUCCUCUUCCUUCUGGUAAGAAACACAUUGGCUGCAAAUGGGUUUAUAAGAUCAAGUAUAAGGCUGAUGGUAGUGUUGAAAGACACAAAGCCAGCCUUGUUAUUAGAGGGGAUACUCAAGUUGAAGGGGUGGAUUUUACUGACACUUUUUCUCCUAUGGUUAAAAUGUCCACUGUGAAGUGUCUUAUUGCAGUGGCUAUUAAGAAGCAUUGGAACUUUUUCAACUUGAUGUUAACAAUGCAUUCUUGCAUGGUGAUUUGGAUGAGGAGGUUUAUAUGAAGCUUCCCCCAGGUUUAUCUGUUUCUGUAUCUUCUUCUGACUCUGUUUCUUCUCCAUCUCCUCCUCUUGUAUGUAAAUUGAAAAAAUCCUUAUAUGGGUUGAGGCAGGCAUCCAGACAGUGGUAUGCCAAGUUGUCCUCUGCCCUUUAUUCCAGAGGCUAUAGUCAUUCCAUCCCUAUAUGGGUUGAGGCAGGCAUCCAGACAAUGGUAUGCCAAGUUGUCCUCUGGCCUUUACUCCAGAGGCUAUAGUCAUUCCAUGAAUGAUUAUUCUCUGUUUAUCAAGGCCAGCCUGGCUGUUUGGUUAUUGUAGCAGUCUAUGUGGAUGACAUUAUCAUCACUGGGGAUGACAAUGAUGAGCUAUCUACCCUGAAGCUGUUUUUGGAUGAUCAGUUCAGGAUCAAAGACCUUGGGUCUUUGCAUUAUUUUCUGGGCAUUGAGAUGUCUGUAGUUCCUGGUGGGAUGCUGAUCAGUUCAGGAUCAAAGACCUUGGGUCUUUGCAUUAUUUUCUGGGCAUUGAGAUGUCUGUCGUUCCUCGUGGGAUGCUCCUCAAUCAGCAUAAAUAUAUUUCUGACCUGUUGCACCAGUUUGACUGUAUGAAUGUUUCUUCUGUUGUUUGCCCUUUGGAUCUUAAUGUGAAACUGCAUGCUGAUUCUGGUGACAUUCUUUCCUCUCCUGAACAAUAUAGAAGUAUUGUUGGUAAGCUCUUAUUCCUGACUCACACCAGGCCUGACAUCUGCUUUGCAGUUCAGCAUCUGAGUCAAUACUUGAAGUGUCCCAGAGUCCCAGAUAUGACUGCUGCUUUACAUGUUCUCAGAUAUCUACAAAGGUCUAUGCAUUUGGGUUUAUUCUAUUCUGACAGCUCUGAUUUGUCUGUCCAUGCUUAUUCUGACAGUGAUUGGGCUGCCUGUCAAGAUACUCGCAGGUCUGUGACUGGGUUUUGUAUUCUUUUAGGUGGCUGCUUGAUUAGUUGGAAAUCUAUGAAACAACCUGUUGUCUCUUUAUCUUCUGAUGAAGCUGAGUAUAGGGCUCUCAGUAAGGUAGUUGCUGAACUAUCUUGGCUUUCCCGAUUGCUAACUGACCUUGGUAUCUCUGUUUCUCUCCCUUUUUCUAUUUUCUGUGACAAUCAGGCUGCUAUACAUAUUGCCAAAAACCCUGUUUUUCACGAGAGGACUAAACAUAUCGAAGUAGAUUGCCAUUUUGUGCGUGAUUUAUUGGCUGCUGGGCUCAUUACUCUAUCCCAUGUUUCUACCUCUCGUCACCUGGCUGAUCUUCUCACAAAACCACUCCCUAGCACCAUUCUUCAUCCUUUUUUGUCCAAGUUGAAGGUGGUUUCCCCCUCCAACUUGAGGGGGAUGUUGAGCUACAAGACUAUUUGGUUUCAAAUCCCAUACACAUGCAUUGAGUUUUUACUGUAUAUUUAGUGUAUGUUAAUUGUAUAUCAGGUAUACUUUGCAGUUGGACCAAUCUGUAUAGUUCAGCCCAUUUUGGCUUUAUUUUCCGGGUUUGUUUUCUGGCCCAUUUUUGUGUAAUUAUAUACCUGACCCUAUGUAAACAGAAGAGUCAGUCGGUAUUUUUCCAUAUGUGAAUCAAUAUUAUUUAUCUCUCUAAAAGCUCUCUGGAAACUUCUGCCUAACCGACUCUCUCUCAUCUUGUUUUUUGAUUUCGUCUAGAUUUCUUGAUGUUUUCAUCAAAAGGUGGAAGUGACUAGUUAAGACUCCUUGGCUCUGGACAGGCUGUACUUUGCAGUUUACUGGCUACUCCCGGUUUCCCUCCCCGACAAGCGAAGUAGCUGUCGGUGGCAACUGUCCAUUUCACUCUGUUUAAGCAUUUGCUGGUUUUUACAAAAUAAAAUAAAAGAAUUUAUGUCAUGUUUGUGUCUAAUUACAUAUGCACCCUUGCACCUCACACCGACAGCCUCAAAUUGUAUUUCUUUUUGCUGCAAAUUCUGUUAAUUAAUAUACCAAAAAUUAAAUGUUAAAUUCAUUUUUCCCUUCAGUUAAAUAAGAGCCCUUUAUAUCGAACUCACAAACAUUAAGAACUUUUUGUUUUAAACUUAUUAUUUACUUUAUUUGUAAUCCGUCUCAAAAUAUAUUACUUCAUCUGUACGUUUGAGGGACAGGAAAAAUAUUUUAAGAAUUCGAAGAAUGAUAUGUGACUGGAUAAGUAAUUUUAGUCUUUUUUCCUUAUUGAGGCCCUCUUGCUUCUUGGUUAACAAAGAAAAAUUUCUUGUCUUUAAGAAGCUUUCUAGAAUUAGAAUAUGCUUAAUUAAAUGCCACUGUUCAAACAUGAAAUUAGAAUCAAACAGCAUCAAUAACGAGAAUAUAUCUAUAAAAUUCUACAAGUGAAAGCUAAGGAGGGUUUACCCAUUGUUUACCCAUACUCUAUCCCUACCUUUUCAAGGUAUAUUCAAAUAUAGUAUUGAAAAAUAAUUUUCAUAAAACACAAGAGGCGUCUGUGGAAUAUUUCUUUUAUAGAUUUAUAGUAUGUAUAUAUGGUCCAAGAAAAAUUCUUAUUAUGUGAUUAAAACACAUACUGCAAGUUAUUGUUUGUCUUAACUGAUGUCAUGCAAAGUAUUUAUGAAACAUUUAUUGUUACGUACAAUUUCUAAUUUUCCCCUUGUUCGUUUGUUUUUAUUUUCUCCUAACAAUAUUAGGCUGCGUGAAAGUAUAUUGAAUUCUCCAUGACAUGCGUGAGUAGUUAAAAUUUUUGAAAACGGUAGAUAGAAAGUUUGACGAGAAAAUGGGUUAGGUCCUUUGUCAAAUCUUGUAGCUAUUAGAUAUUUAUUAACUUCCCUCGUCAUGAGAUUAACAAAACUAAAAUUAAGUCAGUUGAUAGGGCAUCACCAUCACAUUUCUAUUUGAACCGAGUAGUUAUUGUAGUGGUUCACUAUCUUUUUAGAAAACGUCAAAUAUAAGAUACGUACUAUAAAAUAGAGGUGUAUACAGUUAAAAUCGAAUUUUCCUAAUUUUGUAUGAUUAAUCGAAAUCGGGGUGGCAGAUCAAGGUUCGGCCUCACUUUGUAUUGAACCAUGGCAAGGACUCAUGAAUCAAUGAACAAUAUAUCAAGAUCGAGACAAGCCGUUAUCGAGACCGAAGCGGAAUAGAGAUCAAGCGAGAUCGAAGGAAGCCUGCUAAGUCAAAUAAUAGAAAGUCGAGAUAUCUGUGAUUGGGUAAGGAUCGUGGCGGAAAUCUCUGUUGAGAUGAGAGAUUAUAUGGCUUCCAAGCCAAAGCAUAAGUGACAUAAACUUGUAUAUCCAUUGUAUAUUCAUUGUAUAUUUACUGUAUACUCAUGGUAUACCUUGUAAUGGGCUAUGAUGAUUGAUGCUGCUGGACUGUGUAUCUGAGCCCACAUUUAUUUAGUUUUGGGCCGGCUCACCCAACCCGACCCAAUAGUGAAUUGUAUAUAUAAUAUAGGGUUAGAUAUUUUAGAUGGGCCGUCUCACCCGACCCGACCCAAUAGUGAAUUGUAUAUAUAGUAUAGGGGCAGAUAUUUUUACACACGGACUUCAUUUUGUGUUUAAUAAAAUUUUCUCUAGAUCUUCUCGAUCCUUCUCUCAACUACCCCUUUCUCUCUCUUAUUUCUCUCACUAUAUUAUUCAUGUUCUUUAGCUUAAUCCUCAGGUUUCCUGGUAUCAGAGCCAGAUAAUCUUCGGAUCGUUCUCGGUUGCGUGUUAUCGAUCUUGUUCGAAGCUUUUGCUGAAGCUUUUCCUAUGGUUAUCGGUAAGAGAUACUGUUUGGAGAUUUUUCAACGAUUGUUGAGCGGAUAAUCGAAGUUUUCCUGUCAUUCGAGGUUCCGGUCUUGCAUCAACGGGUGUUUUGGGUAAUUUUCCGGCAUCCCUGGGUUUAUUCCGACGAGUUCUUCAAAUUCUAGGGUUUGAGUUUUCCUGUCAUUCGAGGUUCCGAUCUUGUAUCAGCGGGUGUUUUGGGUAAUUUUCCGGCAUCCCUAUGUUUAUUCCGAAGAGUUCUUCAAAUUCUAGGGUUUUCCGACUUUUGGACCUAGACCUUUGGUGUUAUCCGAUGACUUUCUCUUUGCUUGAUGGACGCUUUGGGUGAUUUUCCGACGUCUGUGACUUUAUUCCGGUGAGUUUUAGAACCUAGGGUUUCCGGUGUUGGACCUAGGGUUUCUCUGUUGAUUGAAGGCCGAUCUUCUCCGGUCGCGAAGAAGGAGGGUAACCCUGUCCUUAUUUUGAAUAUUGUAUGCUUUGUAUGUAAGUAUCUGGUACCGUUAUACUUUGCUUGUCGAAACUGUUUUUUUCUCUCAAGCUGGUUCAUUAGUCAUGGCCUCUAAUACGACUGUUGGUACCUCCUCGGUAGACUCUACCUGCCCCCUUUUUGUCUACUCCUCUUAUGUCCCUGGCGUCUCUCUUGUCCCCACUCCCUUCUCAGUCAGUGGUUAUGGGGGUUGGAGGGGAAAGAUGAUUGUUGCCUUAUCUGCUAAAUACAAAAUUAGUUUUGUUGAUGGCACGUGUUCCCGGCCAGCCACUAAUGUGGCUCAACAAAGGUUAUGGGACAUGUACAAUAAUAUGGUUAUUUCAUGGUUAACUGCCUCCCUCUCCCCUGAAAUUGCUGAAAGUGUACAGUAUUCUGAUACUGCACAAAGUAUAUGGUCCCAACUUCAGGCCAGAUAUGACACUGCAAAUAGGACCAAAAUUUUUGAAUUGAAAAGAGAGCUUUCUCAAACCUCUCAAGGGUCUCUAGAUGUAGCUUCAUACUUUAAUAAACUCAAAGGUCUCUGGGAUGAACUAGAAUCAAUGUGUGUCAAUCAUGGCCAAAGAUGUGUUUGUGCUGCUAAAGAUGGUAUAAUACAGGAAAAUGAUGACAAUAAGGUAUUUCAGUUUCUAAUGGGCCUUAAUGAAGCAUACAUGGGGGUAAGGAGUAACCUUUUGAUGAUGCAGCCACCUCCAACCCUUGACAGUGNNNNNNNNNNNNNNNNNNNNNNNNNNNNNNNNNNNNNNNNNNNNNNNNNNNNNNNNNNNNNNNNNNNNNNNNNNNNNNNNNNNNNNNNNNNNNNNNNNNNNNNNNNNNNNNNNNNNNNNNNNNNNNNNNNNNNNNGGACACUUAAUUGAUAAGUGUUUCAAGAUCCAUGGGUAUCCACAAAAUACAAAUUUUAACAAGGGGAGGAGACCUGCUGCUGCUCAUCUUACUUCUGGUGUGGAUUUGCCUCAUUCUGAAGCACAUAUGUCUGUUCCCCAAGGGAAUCCUCCUGAGAGUCAUCAAUCUGUUCCAAGAAUAGAUGGCCAGAGUUCUGUGAUACCAGGGUUGAGCAGACAACAUUAUAAUCAAUUGAUGAACUUAUUACAACAGACCCAGUUAGGGGACUCCACUCCUCUGACUCCUCCUCCCAUGUAUGCUGCUAACUUUGCUGGUACUAUGCUAACUGAG
This 8962-nucleotide long non-coding RNA is filed under the name Nicotiana benthamiana. RNAcentral describes it as "long non-coding RNA (NBEN_LNC035552)". The record is from RNAcentral. Lineage: Eukaryota; Viridiplantae; Streptophyta; Magnoliopsida; Solanales; Solanaceae.